Molecule: RNA transcript, 1615 nt
Organism: Panicum virgatum (switchgrass)
Lineage: Eukaryota; Viridiplantae; Streptophyta; Magnoliopsida; Poales; Poaceae
Exons: 8
Source: RefSeq, a predicted model, not a curated record
UCGAGGCUGUCGGCGGGGAGGACCGCAUCGCCGGCCUCCCUGAGGAGCUCCUCGCACUCGUCUUCGUCAUGCUCGGCUCCGGCAACUGCAAGCACUGCUCCCUCGUCUACUGCCGCUGGCUCGCCAUCAAGGCCGCCUCCCGCCUCCGCCUCGUGCUCGACGCCCGGGUGCCACUCCUUUGACGACGAAGCACUCCCCGCGCUCCUCCACUGGUGCGGCUCGCCGGCCUCCCCGCCACUCCAGCUAGCUCGAGGACCACCUCCGCAUCCUCCUCCCCCUCAUCCGGGUGCCUCGCCCCCACAGCUACUUCGAGCCCUAUGCCCGUGGCAGGAGGCGGCGGGACAGCAGCCACACGAGCAGGCAUUGGGGUUGGUGUACGACGCGGCGAGCGGGACGACGGCCGUGAUUUGGGAGCUAUGUUCCACUGCGCGUAGGCAAAACAGUGUAGGUGCGUGAUGCAUGGAGGCAGCUUCUCAAGCACCGUGGUGAAGGCCCACUCACUCCCCUUCGGAUGCAGAACCUGCAGAUGGGCGAGGGGAGCUUCUUCUUUGGUGGAGCUUUGUGUCCUUCAACAUUUUAUAAGCAGGAGCCAGGGAGGGUGACAUGUUCAAGUGAUUAUGAGGACGAGCUUGAAUUUGCAUGGCAAUAAACUACUUCGGAGCUGCCGCCGGCUCCUGCUACUUCGGAGCCAAGGGAAUCGAGGGUGUUUUCCGCUCCUGCCUCCAUCUCGAGGAGCUCUCCAUCAAGCGCCUCUAUGGCCUCGCUAAAUCUGAGGCCAUCAAGGCUAUGGAUCCGGGGGCGGUCAUCAAAGCUGCACUGGGAAGCUGCAGCAGCGGCUUGGAACCAUUGCCCGAUAGUAAGCACAAGCAGCUGUCCAGCAGCGAGCUGCAACCUGCAAGCAUAAGCAGAGCUAUUUGCAAUCGUAUUGUACAUAUACGCAACAUUAAGCUUGCUGAGCCUCCUUUACCGUCAACACCAGGGAACACAUAUAUGUGAUCCUCAUGAUGGAGGUCCACCACUGGGGGGAGAAUGCUGGUACAAUUGCACCCUUAAGGACAUAGCUGGGGAGGAAAAGAAGCGACUGCUCCCGGAAGGCACCGGGACAAACAGUAGUGUGGUUUAGAAAAGCUCUAGCUGUUGAACCUGCCAAGGGCAAUCUGCGGCUCAAUUGGUGCUCAGCUUGUGGUCAUGAUGGAGGUGUGUACAGCUCCCCCAUGCGUAUGUUGAAGUCCUCCAAAAGUGUGUUCAUAAGUUGGUUGGUGUGCUUUUCUUUUCUGCCUGCAAGUUUCUUCAGCAGAUCAACACUAUAACAUGCUCUACAUCUAUUUGGUGUUUGGUGAUCAGAAAGUUCAUCAGAUCAUCAUCGGCAGCAGUUUAGUUGCACCUCAACCUAGCUUGAUUUUAUUCAUGUGUAACUUGAUAUUAGUUGUAGUACCUCCAAUCUUUUUGUUUGGUGGUAGUUUUAAUCAUCGGCUGUAAUCAGCACUACAACAGUUGAGGCAAUCAUGAUUUGUAUGUGGUAGUAGUUUUGAAACUAUGUGAAUAUUUGGAAUUUAGAUGAGGUGAAACUUUGUAAAUGUUCUAAUUUGCUUUCAGAUUUUUAUAAUUUUGCUUA